RNAcentral lists this unclassified non-coding RNA (404 nucleotides) under soil metagenome. RNAcentral describes it as "partial contains 5.8S ribosomal RNA, internal transcribed spacer 2, and large subunit ribosomal RNA". The stretch from base 1 to 121 matches the Rfam family "5.8S ribosomal RNA", at positions 35 to 154 of the family's 154-position model. The record is from RNAcentral.
GAUGAAGAACGCAGCGAAAUGCGAUAAGUAAUGUGAAUUGCAGAAUUCAGUGAAUCAUCGAAUCUUUGAACGCACCUUGCGCCCUUUGGCUAUUCCGAAGGGCAUGCCUGUUUGAGUAUCAUGAACACCUCAACUCUCAUGGUUUGCCAUGAUGAGCUUGGACUUUGGGGGUCUUGCCGGCCUAUGGGUCGGCUCCUCUCAAAUUAAUCAGCUUGCCAGUGUUUGGUGGCAUCACAGGUGUGAUAACUAUCUACGCUUGUGGUUUUCCAUCAGGUAACCUUCAGUGAUGGAGGUUCGCUGGGGCUCAUAAAUGUCUCUCCUCAGUGAGGACAGCUUUUUUGAACGUUUGAUCUCAAAACAGGUAGGACUACCCGCUGAACUUAAGCAUAUCAAUAAGCGGAGGA